UACGUAGGGGGCAAGCGUUAUCCGGAAUUACUGGGUGUAAAGGGAGCGUAGACGGUAAUGUAAGUCUGGAGUGAAAGGCGGGGGCCCAACCCCCGGACUGCUCUGGAAACUAUGUUACUGGAGUGCAGGAGAGGUAAGCGGAAUUCCUAGUGUAGCGGUGAAAUGCGUAGAUAUCGCGCAGAACUCCGAUUGCGAAGGCAGCAUGCCGGCUCCACACUGACGCUGAGGCACGAAAGCGUGGGUAUCGAACAGG
This 253-nucleotide ribosomal RNA is filed under the name uncultured Eubacteriales bacterium. Its description in RNAcentral is "uncultured Clostridiales bacterium partial 16S ribosomal RNA". It matches the Rfam family "Bacterial small subunit ribosomal RNA", at positions 524 to 776 of the family's 1533-position model. The record is from RNAcentral. Lineage: Bacteria; Bacillati; Bacillota; Clostridia; Eubacteriales.